RNAcentral lists this unclassified non-coding RNA (507 nucleotides) under uncultured Entrophospora. RNAcentral's name for it is "SSU rRNA". It matches the Rfam family "Eukaryotic small subunit ribosomal RNA", at positions 591 to 1092 of the family's 1831-position model. The record is from RNAcentral. Lineage: Eukaryota; Fungi; Glomeromycota; Glomeromycetes; Entrophosporales; Entrophosporaceae.
CCAAUAGCGUAUAUUAAAGUUGUUGCAGUUAAAAAGCUCGUAGUUGAAUUUCGGGAUUGACGUGACGGUCAUGCCUUAAGGGGUAUGAACUGUUGCUGUUGAUUUCUCACCUUCUGGAGAAACUUGAUGUCCUUUAUUGGGUGUCUUGCGGAUCCAGGACCUUUACCUUGAAAAAAUUAGAGUGUUUAAAGCAGGCAUUUUUGCUCGAAUACAUUAGCAUGGAAUAAUAGAAUAGGACGGCAUGGUUCUAUUUUGUUGGUUUCUAGGAUCACCGUAAUGAUUAAUAGGGAUAGUUGGGGGCAUUAGUAUUCAAUUGUCAGAGGUGAAAUUCUUGGAUUUAUUGAAGACUAACUACUGCGAAAGCAUUUGCCAAGGAUGUUUUCAUUAAUCAAGAACGAAAGUUAGGGGAUCGAAGACGAUCAGAUACCGUCGUAGUCUUAACCAUAAACUAUGCCGACUAGGAAUCAGACGAUGUUAAUUUUUUAAUGACUCGUUUGGCACCUUACG